AAACAGUAUUAGGCUCCUAUAUUCAUAUAUUCUUGGAUAGAUGAAGCUACAACACGGCAACUAAGCGAGUAAAAGAGAGA
Long non-coding RNA from Aricia agestis (brown argus), 80 nucleotides. RefSeq lists it as uncharacterized. The transcript is spliced from 4 exons. The record is from RefSeq and is a predicted model, not a curated record. NCBI's taxonomy places the organism in Eukaryota, Metazoa, Arthropoda, Insecta, Lepidoptera, Lycaenidae.